GUGGUGGGAGUGAGACUUUAGGAGGUCUUUCCCAACCUAAAUGAUUCUAUGCUUCUAAAAUGCUAUUUGUGUUAGCUGCAGCAUUGGUAGGCUUUGUAGUAAGCUAUUCUAUUUAGGAAAGUUAGCAGCUGAAGUAAUGAAAAAUUUCUACUUCUGAAUAUGUUCAAAAAUUCUCAUCAGGUUUUAAGAAUAUCUGGAAAAGAACAACAGGUUUCAGAAUGAAGCAUUUCUAAAUCAUUAAUAUAAUUUGGGUCUGUAUCUUAAUUGUUUGUGUCUCAUAUGCAUCUGUUUAUUUAUCCAAAAAAAAUUAGUGUACAGUGCUAUUUCUUUGAGAUCUGAUAGCUUGUAUCAGAUUCAUUUGUCCUUAACUCUAAUUGCAAUAAACCUUCAGAGAAAUCUAUCAAACAUACCUCACUUCUUACAGAAAUCAUAGGAUCUAAAGAAUCAAACAAACUAUACAUUUAAAAACAAUAAAAAAAGAUUUUCUAAACUCAUGUUUCAGAUAUUAAACAGGCUGCUUUUUUUUCAAGUGCUUAGGUGACAGAGAACCCUGAGAUAACAGCCACUAGACUGAAAUGUAUGGAGGCUGUGAGCAGAUGAUUUUCAGAGCAUCAUCCUUUGAUUACAGAACUCAAGCCUAAGGUCGUUUCAUCACAAUGCUGUAGACAAGCUCAAAGUCAGGGAUUUUACUGUAAGCACACUUUCCAACACCACCUUUCUGGGAUUUACCACUUUAAUUAGCAGAAGGCUGAGUUCAUAAGAAGACAUGAAGUAAGCUGGUGCUCUUUUGAAUUGGCUCCUCGACUUCAUGCAGCUGGUGCUCUCUGGUCACAUAAGAAAUAUGAAUUCCUGAAUCCACUCAUAACACCUGGAAAGAAUGAUGGAGGAAGGAGAACUAUGUCAGAUCUAAUAACAACAACAACAAAAAAAACAGGGCUGCCUGGUAUGUAAAAUUAUUACCCCAAAAUAAUGCCACCUGGAAAGCCUACCUCUUAUGGUUUCACUUGCUGCUAACUUUAUUUUGCAAACCUUACAGCAAAUAGUCACUUAGGAAAAUAAUUUUUGAUAACCUUCGGACUUAGACAUAACAGAAGUUAUCCCAUAGCCUGAAAUGGAAAAUAUUGUUUGAAGAAGUAUCUAUACUGCUCCCAAAUAUUGAUUCCCAGUGGGCUGGGCUGGGUAGCGAGGUGAUUAGUAUGCCCAAACUCAUUUUGAAAGGAAUCUAACUGACUGUGUGACUCAAAGGCUUAGCUUGUAGGAGAAAAGGGUAAGUGAAAAUGACUUCUUUUUUUCUAAGAUGAUUCAAACACAGAUUGUCUGCUUGCG
Molecule: long non-coding RNA, 1326 nt
Filed under: Numida meleagris (helmeted guineafowl)
Lineage: Eukaryota; Metazoa; Chordata; Aves; Galliformes; Numididae
Description: lncRNA (ENSNMEG00000005188.1)
Source: RNAcentral